RNAcentral lists this ribosomal RNA (1223 nucleotides) under uncultured organism. Its description in RNAcentral is "bacterial SSU rRNA". It matches the Rfam family "Bacterial small subunit ribosomal RNA", at positions 233 to 1487 of the family's 1533-position model. The record is from RNAcentral.
GCGGGCUAUCAGCUUGUUGGUGGGGUAAUGGCUUACCAAGGCGAAGACGGCUAGGGGGCGUGAGAGCGCGACCCGCCACAAUGGAACUGAGACACGGUCCAUACUCCUACGGGAGGCAGCAGUGAGGAAUAUUGCGCAAUGGGGGCAACCCUGACGCAGCAACGCCGCGUGGACGAUGAAGGCCUUCGGGUUGUAAAGUCCUUUUCUGAAGGAAGAUAGUGACGGUACUUCAGGAAUAAGUCCCGGCUAACUACGUGCCAGCAGCCGCGUGUAAACGUAGGGGGCGAGCGUUAUCCGGAUUUACUGGGCGUUAAGCGCACGUAGGCGGCAUCGUAAGUUGGACGUGAAAGCUCCCGGCUCAACUGGGAGAGGUCGUUCAAAACUGUGGUGCUUGAGGUUGAUAGAGGAGAGUGGAAUUCCCGGUGUAGUGGUGGAAUGCGUAGAUAUCGGGAGGAACACCAGUGGCGAAGGCGGCUCUCUAGGUCACACCUGACGCUGAGGUGCGAAAGCGUGGGGAGCGAACGGGAUUAGAUACCCCGGUAGUCCACGCUGUAAACGAUGGAUACUAGGUGUGGGAGGUUAUUUACCCCUUCUGUGCCGUAGCUAACGCGUUAAGUAUCCCGCCUGGGGACUACGGCCGCAAGGUUAAAACUCAAAGGAAUUGACGGGGGCCCGCACAAGCAGCGGAGCGUGUGGUUUAAUUCGAUGAUACGCGAAGAACCUUACCUGGGCUUGACAUGGUGGUAGUAGUGAAGCGAAAGCGGAACGACCCUUCGGGGAGCCAUCACAGGUGCUGCAUGGCUGUCGUCAGCUCGUGUCGUGAGAUGUUGGGUUAAGUCCCGCAACGAGCGCAACCCUCGUCGCUAGUUAUAUGUGUCUAGUGAGACUGCCGGUAUCAAACCGGAGGAAGGUGGGGAUGACGUCAAGUCAGCAUGGUCUUUAUGUCCAGGGCUACACACACGCUACAAUGGCCGGUACAAUGGGUUGCCAUACCGCGAGGUGGAGCUAAUCCUCAAAGCCGGUCUCAGUUCGGAUUGCAGUCUGCAACUCGACUGCAUGAAGGUGGAGUUGCUAGUAACCGCGCGUCAGCAAUAGUGCGGUGAAUGCGUUCCCGGGCCUGUACACACCGCCCGUCACAUCAUGGGAGUCGGCAACACCUGAAGUCGGUGACCAAACCGAAAGGUAGGAACUGCCUAAGGUGGGCCGGUAACUGGGAUGAAGUC